UCACGACAGCGAGCAAACAGGAAGGAACACCAAGGAUACCGGGUUGUAGGUAUGAAACAGGUGACCGACCAAAGCGUGAAUUAGUUUGUUUUCCAAAACACUCAACAUCCUGAAGAGGGCUAGAAAAGCAGUCUUGUUAGAGGAUGGACAUUCGACUCCACAAGGAAUACGAGUCUUACUCGACUGGGGAGGACAAAACUUCGAC
This 205-nucleotide long non-coding RNA is filed under the name Lathyrus oleraceus (garden pea). RNAcentral's name for it is "Pisum sativum (pea) long non-coding RNA (PSAT_LNC004778)". The record is from RNAcentral. Lineage: Eukaryota; Viridiplantae; Streptophyta; Magnoliopsida; Fabales; Fabaceae.